This 253-nucleotide ribosomal RNA is filed under the name uncultured prokaryote. Its description in RNAcentral is "partial 16S ribosomal RNA". It matches the Rfam family "Bacterial small subunit ribosomal RNA", at positions 525 to 777 of the family's 1533-position model. The record is from RNAcentral.
ACGUAGGAGACAAACGUUAUCCGGAGUUACUGGGCGUAAAGGGCGUGUAGGUGGUUUUGUAAGUCUGGCGUGAAAUUUUUCGGCUUAACCGGGAAAGGUCGUCGGAUACUGCCGGGCUGGAGCACUGUAGAGGCAGGUGGAAUUCCGGGUGUAGCGGUGGAAUGCGUAGAGAUCCGGAAGAACACCGGUGGCGAAGGCGGCCUGCUGGGCAGUGGCUGACGCUGAUGCGCGACAGCGUGGGGAGCAAACAGGA